GUGAGCGGUGAUUAUUAUUAUUAUAUGACGGUGUUAUACAUGAUACCCUGUGAGCGGUGAUUACUAUUAUAUGACGGUGUAAUACAUGAUACCCUGUGAGCGGUUAUUAUUAUUAUAUGACGGUGUUAUACAAGAUACUUUGUGCAUUUACAAUCUAAAGCAAAUUAGACAUUGAAGAAAGCGAUAUUGGGAGCAAAUACAGCAAUGGGGGGCGGGAGGGGAAUCACAGAAAACACUAGAUCAGGUAUAAACACCUGAUCUGCUACGAUGGUUAUCCAGUAAUUAGUGGAGAUUUUACCUAUGACGUAAUGUGUGUGUUCCAGUUUCUUUCUGUGGGGGAGAUGAUAAAUUGUAAAGUGCUAAG
This is a non-coding RNA of Pelobates cultripes (western spadefoot toad), 364 nucleotides long. The record is from the annotation of a GenBank genome assembly. Lineage: Eukaryota; Metazoa; Chordata; Amphibia; Anura; Pelobatidae.